CCCAUAACUCAGGGAUAGCCUUUCGAAAGAAGAUUAAUACCUGAUAGUACUUUUUCAAGGCAUCUUGAAAAAGUUAAAGAUUUAUUGGUUAUGGAUGGGGAUGCGUUCCAGUUAGAUAGUUGGUGAGGUAACGGCUCACCAAGUCUUCGAUGGAUAGGGGUUCUGAGAGGAAGGUCCCCCACAUUGGUACUGAGACACGGACCAAACUCCUACGGGAGGCAGCAGUGAGGAAUAUUGGCAAUGGGCGAGAGCCUGAACCAGCCAAGUAGCGUGAAGGAAUGAAGGUCCUAUGGAUUGUAAACUUCUUUUAUAGUAGAAUAAAGUGAGCCACGUGUGGUUUUUUGUAUGUAUACUAUGAAUAAGGAUCGGCUAACUCCGUGCCAGCCGCAGC
Molecule: ribosomal RNA, 391 nt
Filed under: uncultured bacterium
Lineage: Bacteria
Description: bacterial SSU rRNA
Rfam family: Bacterial small subunit ribosomal RNA
Source: RNAcentral